This is an RNA transcript of Gasterosteus aculeatus aculeatus (three-spined stickleback), 1224 nucleotides long. It is a transcript of the gene named TM2 domain containing 1, with no coding region annotated. The record is from RefSeq and is a predicted model, not a curated record. Lineage: Eukaryota; Metazoa; Chordata; Actinopteri; Perciformes; Gasterosteidae.
ACGUGACAAAGAUAAACAUGGCGUCUUCCCGGAGACCGCUAGUUUGUUUACGCUCCGGGAUUUGGAGCUUGUUGUUAUACAGUGUUUACACUCAUUUGAAGCUCGUUCUGGCAGAGGAGGUGGACAGCUGCGAGAACUUGAGACUCGGACAGUAUCUCUGCAACGACCCAAAGAUCAACAAAGACACGCAGGAGCCGGAGAACUGCACGGGCAUGACGGCCUGGGUGGAGUGCCUUCCAGCUCCGAACAUCAGCUGUCGGCUCUCUAACGGGACAGAGUUCAGGUUCAGCGGUGAGGAGGUGGGCUUCAACAAAACCAUCCCCUGCAGGAACGUGAGUGGUUAUUCCUACAAAGUAGCUGUGGCUUUGUCUCUGUUCCUUGGCUGGCUGGGGGCAGACCGCUUCUACCUGGGAUACCCUGCUCUAGGACUGUUGAAGUUCUGCACCGUUGGCUUCUGUGGAAUUGGUACUCUGAUCGACUUCAUACUGAUCGCCAUGCAGCACCGCCCCCCCUCCGAGGGCCGCAGGAUGAGCGAUGCUUCCUGAACUUCUCUAAUGAUCGUGGGUCCCGCUGACGGGUCAAACUACAUCGUGGAUUAUUACGGCGCCCGGCUGACCCAACUGUCCAUCACCAACCAGACGUACAGGAAGCCACACCUGUCUCUGUGAAGCCGUCCAUCAUGCAAACACAGACUGCAGGACCUGACGUUGAUAAAUGGACCGUUUAAGGACAAAAGUUAUUGAAAGUUGCUUCAACCCGAACCUUCAGGCCCGUUCGCUCCCAAACUGUUCACCUUCACAUUUUGUCAUUUAAGUCCUAUUUCUGUCUUUACGUCUGUUCAGUUUUCAGUUUUAUUCAAUGUGAUUUAGUUGUAAUGUAUUUUGUAUUAUUAUUGUGAUGUUUUGCUGCUCUUUGGUCUUUAAGUUAUGAUGCUGUUCCACAAUAACUGUCUUUGUUAAUAAAAAGUUCAUUUUUGUGUUAAUCUACACUUCACGGUUUUUAUUAAACAUCGCCGUUGUGUUGAAGUUGACACGCUGAGGAUUUGCGGUUUGCUUUGAUGUUUUUUAGUUACUUAAUAUCUUACUUUAUUUAUCAUGUGACUGGACUCUGUUAUAGUUUUUCCUUUUCUUAUUGGUCUUUAUCAACACUUGUAUGUUGAGGAUACUCACUGGCACCACGGAUAUAAUUAAACACUGCGUACAUUAAACACUGCUCUGAAGUGAA